GAAAUGGGGAAAAAGUAUGACAAUAAAAUUGUACCAGAAUAAGAGUAGAAUUGUCAUAGAGACAUAGACCAUUGUUACAACUCUAAAAUUAGGGAUAUAAUCAUAAUAGAAACCUCACAUUCUAACUUAAUUUAGACUCUCCAAGAAGAAUUGCAGAUGCUUUCACCCCACAAAGCACGUUGCCUUGACAAAUACUCAGGAGUUGUUUGCCUGCUAACCAUGACAACACACGGCUGGUGGAAAGACAACAUGCAUGCUGUUGACAGCACUGCGACAACACGAAGAUGGUCUUUAGAGGGAAAACAGUUCCUAGUUAUGGCAAUGCUGUUCAGAAACAAAGGAAUGCAUAUAGAAGAUAACAACAUUAGAUGCUGUAAUUUAUUUUCUCUGCAGAAAGUACAGCAGAGACUAUUCCCAUCAACUUUGCAUGCAGUACAGAAUGUUUCUGGCAUCAGCUGUCUUCUCCAUUGCUCACCAGUCUGGUGCUGCCCCUCGUGA
RNAcentral lists this long non-coding RNA (498 nucleotides) under Anas platyrhynchos platyrhynchos (common mallard). Its description in RNAcentral is "lncRNA (ENSAPLG00000028751.1)". The record is from RNAcentral. Lineage: Eukaryota; Metazoa; Chordata; Aves; Anseriformes; Anatidae.